Molecule: ribosomal RNA, 450 nt
Filed under: uncultured bacterium
Lineage: Bacteria
Description: bacterial SSU rRNA
Rfam family: Bacterial small subunit ribosomal RNA
Source: RNAcentral
AACGAACGCUGGCGGCAGGCUUAACACAUGCAAGUCGAACGAUGUAGCAAUACAUAGUGGCGCACGGGUGAGUAACGCGUGGGAACGUGCCCUUCAGUACGGAAUAACCAUUGGAAACGAUGGCUAAUACCGUAUAUUCCCUCCGGGGGAAAGAUUUAUCGCUGAAGGAUCGGCCCGCGUUAGAUUAGGUAGUUGGUGGGGUAAUGGCCUACCAAGCCUAUGAUCUAUAGCUGGUCUGAGAGGAUGAUCAGCCACACUGGAACUGAGACACGGUCCAGACUCCUACGGGGGGCAGCAGUGGGGAAUAUUGGACAAUGGGGGAAACCCUGAUCCAGCCAUGCCGCGUGAGUGUUGAAGGCCUUAGGGUUGUAAAGCUCUUUUACCAGGGACGAUGAUGACGGUACCUGGAGAAUAAGCACCGGCUAACUUCGUGCCAGCAGCCGCGGUAAU